RNAcentral lists this ribosomal RNA (452 nucleotides) under uncultured bacterium. RNAcentral's name for it is "bacterial SSU rRNA". It matches the Rfam family "Bacterial small subunit ribosomal RNA", at positions 340 to 786 of the family's 1533-position model. The record is from RNAcentral.
UACGGAAGGCAGCAGGGGGAAUAUUGCACAAUGGGCGCAAGCCUGAUGCAGCCAUGCCGCGUGUAUGAAGAAGGCCUUCGGGUUGUAAAGUACUUUCAGUCGUGAGGAAGGUGUUAAGGUUAAUAACCUUAGCAAUUGACGUUAGCGACAGAAGAAGCACCGGCUAACUCCGUGCCAGCAGCCGCGGUAAUACGGAGGGUGCGAGCGUUAAUCGGAAUUACUGGGCGUAAAGGGCACGCAGGCGGUUAAUUAAGUUGGAUGUGAAAUCCCCGGGCUUAACCUGGGAAUGGCAUUCAAGACUGGUUAGCUAGAGUCUUGUAGAGGGGGUAGAAUUCCAUGUGUAGCGGUGAAAUGCGUAGAGAUGUGGAGGAAUACCGGUGGCGAAGGCGGCCCCUGGACAAAGACUGACGCUCAUGUGCGAAAGCGUGGGGAGCAAACAGGGAUUAGAUACC